RNAcentral lists this ribosomal RNA (468 nucleotides) under uncultured bacterium. RNAcentral describes it as "partial 16S ribosomal RNA". It matches the Rfam family "Bacterial small subunit ribosomal RNA", at positions 28 to 507 of the family's 1533-position model. The record is from RNAcentral.
GACGAACGCUGGCGGCGUGCUUAACACAUGCAAGUCGAACGGACAGGCGCGGCUUUUGUUGCUUUCUCGAGUGCCGCACGGGUGAGUAACACGUGUGUAUACCGCCCUUGUAUUUGUGAUAUAUUCUCGAAAAUGGGGCUCUUACAGCAUAGAAGCUCCUGCUGCAUGGUGUUGGUUGGUAAGUUUCGGCGUUUCUGGAUGGACUCGCUGGUUCUCCGCUUGUUGGUGGGGUAGUGGCUUUCCAAGGCUUUGACGGCUAGCCGGCCUGAGAGGGUGACCGGCCACAUGGGGACUGAGAUACGGCCCAGACGCCUACGGGAGGCAGCAGGGGGGAGUAUGGCACAAUGGGCGGAAGCCUGAUGCAGCAACCCCGCGUGCGGGAUGACGGCCUUCGGGUUGAAAACCGCUUUCGCCUGUGCCAAAGCGGUAGUGACGGUAAUGGGUAAAAAAGCACCGGCUAACUACGUG